This is a transfer RNA of Ipomoea nil (Japanese morning glory), 73 nucleotides long. It matches the Rfam family "tRNA". Rfam says of the family: Transfer RNA (tRNA) molecules are approximately 80 nucleotides in length. Their secondary structure includes four short double-helical elements and three loops (D, anti-codon, and T loops). Further hydrogen bonds mediate the characteristic L-shaped molecular structure. tRNAs have two regions of fundamental functional importance: the anti-codon, which is responsible for specific mRNA codon recognition, and the 3' end, to which the tRNAs corresponding amino acid is attached (by aminoacyl-tRNA synthetases). tRNAs cope with the degeneracy of the genetic code in two manners: having more than one tRNA (with a specific anti-codon) for a particular amino acid; and 'wobble' base-pairing, i.e. permitting non-standard base-pairing at the 3rd anti-codon position. Lineage: Eukaryota; Viridiplantae; Streptophyta; Magnoliopsida; Solanales; Convolvulaceae. The record is from Rfam.
GUUGGUGUAGUGUAGUGGUUAUCAUGUCAGUCUUACACACUAAAGGUCCCUAGUUCAAUCCUAGGCAUCAACA